GAUGAACGCUGGCGGCGUGCCUAAUACAUGCAAGUCGAGCGAACGGACGAGAAGCUUGCUUCUCUGAUGUUAGCGGCGGACGGGUGAGUAACACGUGGAUAACCUACCUAUAAGACUGGGAUAACUUCGGGAAACCGGAGCUAAUACCGGAUAAUAUUUUGAACCGCAUGGUUCAAAAGUGAAAGACGGUCUUGCUGUCACUUAUAGAUGGAUCCGCGCUGCAUUAGCUAGUUGGUAAGGUAACGGCUUACCAAGGCAACGAUGCAUAGCCGACCUGUGAGGUGGAGCGCCAACAUGGGAACGGAACCAGGCACCGUGCCCCGACGGGAGGAACCAGUAGGCAACUGUCGGAAAUGGGGGAAAGCCUGACGGAGCAAGGCGGGGGGAGAGAUAAAGGCUUUGGGUGCGUAAAACUGUGUUAUGGGGGAAAAAAAAAUGUGGAAGAAAAUGAACACUUAUUGACGGUACUUAAUAAAAAAGCCCCGGCUAACUACGUG
This 497-nucleotide ribosomal RNA is filed under the name uncultured bacterium. RNAcentral's name for it is "partial 16S ribosomal RNA". It matches the Rfam family "Bacterial small subunit ribosomal RNA", at positions 28 to 507 of the family's 1533-position model. The record is from RNAcentral.